CCUACGGGUGGCAGCAGUGGGGAAUAUUGGACAAUGGGCGAAAGCCUGAUCCAGCCAUGCCGCGUGUGUGAAGAAGGCCUUCGGGUUGUAAAGCACUUUCAGUGGGGAAGAAAGCCUUGGGGCUAAUACCCUCGAGGAAGGACAUCACCCACAGAAGAAGCACCGGCUAACUCCGUGCCAGCAGCCGCGGUAAUACGGAGGGUGCGAGCGUUAAUCGGAAUUACUGGGCGUAAAGCGCGCGUAGGCGGUCUGAUAAGCCGGUUGUGAAAGCCCCGGGCUCAAACUGGGAACGGCAUCCGGAACUGUCAGGCUAGAGUGCAGGAGAGGAAGGUAGAAUUCCCGGUGUAGCGGUGAAAUGCGUAGAGAUCGGGAGGAAUACCAGUGGCGAAGGCGGCCUUCUGGACUGACACUGACGCUGAGGUGCGAAAGCGUGGGUAGCAAACAGGAUUAGAUACCCCAGUAGUC
This 465-nucleotide ribosomal RNA is filed under the name Vreelandella stevensii. RNAcentral's name for it is "partial 16S ribosomal RNA". It matches the Rfam family "Bacterial small subunit ribosomal RNA", at positions 338 to 795 of the family's 1533-position model. Lineage: Bacteria; Pseudomonadati; Pseudomonadota; Gammaproteobacteria; Oceanospirillales; Halomonadaceae. The record is from RNAcentral.